Zea mays is the source of this 2502-nucleotide RNA transcript. It is a transcript of the gene named outer envelope protein 80, chloroplastic, with no coding region annotated. Lineage: Eukaryota; Viridiplantae; Streptophyta; Magnoliopsida; Poales; Poaceae. The record is from RefSeq and is a predicted model, not a curated record. The transcript is spliced from 17 exons.
CCACCAUCUGCUCCGCAUCCUCCUCCGGCGCCCAUGGCGGAGGAAACCCUCGCGCCCUCGUCCUCGUACUCGGUCUCGUCGGCAAAGCCCUAAACCCUAGUCGACCUCCAUUUCGGAACCCUAGCCUUCCCGCGCCGCCGCCAUGGUCCGCAGUUGCGAUGUCCGUUUUGUCUCCUCCGGUGUCAAGCUCCCGUGCGAGUCCACCUCCGCGCUGGCCCCGUCCCCGUCCCCGUCUCCGGCACCCGCGCUCCUCUCCGCAGCGCUCCCGUUCGCGCACAUCGGCCGCGCCAUCGAUGCCGCCGCCCGCCGCCUGGGCUCCUGCCUCCCACGCGUCCCUGUUGCGCGGGCCGACCCGGCUCCGUCCCCGCCACGGCGGCACGGCAAGGACGGCGGAGGGCCCGAGGAGCGGGUGCUGAUCAGCGAGGUCGCGGUGCGGGGAAAGGACGGGGAGCCCCUGGAGCUGCCCGAGCUGGAGGCCGCGGCCGCCGCGGCGCUGCGCGCGUGCCGCCCCAACGCCGCGCUCACCGUGCGGGAGGUGCAGGAGGACGUGCACCGCAUCGUCGAGAGCGGACUCUUCCGAUCGUGUAUGCCCGUCGCUGUCGACACCCGCGAUGGCAUUCGCCUCGUCUUUGAGGUGGAGCCGAACCAAGACUUCCAUGGGCUGGUAUGCGAGGGCGCCAACAUGCUACCGUCCAAGUUCAUGGAAGAUGCAUUUCGCGAUCGCCAUGGAAAAAUUAUUAACAUUAGGCAUCUGGAUCAAGUGAUCAAGUCUGUUAACAGAUGGUAUCAGGAGCGUGGCCUAACUGGGUUGGUUUCAUAUGCUGAGAUACUUUCUGGAGGGAUUCUGAGGCUGCAGGUUUCAGAAGCUGAGGUUAAUAACAUUAGCAUUCGCUUUCUAGACAGGAAGACCGGUGAACCAACUGUUGGAAAAACACAGACGGAAACCAUCCUUCGGCAGCUUACCACCAAGAAAGGGCAGGCUUACAAUAGAGCACAAGUGAAAAGGGAUGUAGAAACAAUACUUACUAUGGGAAUCAUGGAAGAUGUUACGAUAAUCCCACAGCCAGUUGGAGAUUCUAAUAAAGUAGACCUUGUCAUGAAUCUUGUUGAACGCCCUUCGGGUGGUUUCUCUGCUGGUGGUGGAAUUUCAAGUGGGAUAACAAAUGGACCCCUUUCUGGACUUAUUGGCAGCUUUGCAUAUUCACAUCGGAAUGUUUUUGGGAGGAACAAGAAAUUAAAUCUCUCUUUGGAAAGGGGGCAAAUCGAUUCAAUAUUUAGAUUGAACUUUACUGACCCUUGGAUUGAUGGAGACAACAAGAGAACCUCUAGAACUGUUAUGGUUCAGAACUCUAGGACUCCUGGAACACUUGUUCAUGGUGGUGAUCAUCCUGACCAUGCGCCUAUAACAAUUGGACGUGUUAUUGCUGGCUUAGAAUAUAGUCGACCAUUCAGACCCAAGUGGAGUGGGACACUUGGCUUAAUUUUUCAGCAUGCUGGUGCUCGUGAUGAUAAAGGGAAUCCGGUCAUCAGGGAUUUCUAUAACAGCCAAUUGACUGCCAGUGGACAUGAUUAUGAUGAUACACUGUUAGCUAAGUUUGAAAGUAUCUACACAGAUUCUGGAGACCAUAGCUCUACAAUGUUUGUUUUCAACAUUGAGCAAGGUCUCCCUGUUCUCCCGGAGUGGCUAAGCUUCAACCGACUGACAGCACGCUUGAGGCAGGGCUAUGAAAUUGGUCCUGCUAGGCUUCUUCUAAGUGCCUCUGGAGGUCACAUGGAGGGAAAUUUUCCACCUCAUGAAGCAUUUGCAAUUGGUGGGACAAAUAGUGUAAGAGGAUAUGAAGAAGGUGCUGUUGGCUCUGGGCGUUCUUAUGCUGUAGGUAGUGGUGAAGUGUCAUGCCGCAUGGUAAACUUCUUUCUCCUCUCGACCUUACUGGCUUUUUGUUGUUGUCAAAUGGACUCCACAUGGAAGUAUGACAGGCACAACUGAAUGGUAAUUUACCACAGAAUGCCGUACUGGCAACACCGCAACAAGGAUUUAGUUCAAGAAAAUCAGAAAGGAAACAAACAGUUUGGGCCACUGGAAGGCGUGGUCUUUGGAGACUAUGGUAGUGAUCUUGGUUCUGGUCCUAAAGUUCCUGGUGACCCAGCCGGAGCUCGUGGAAAGCCAGGGAGUGGCUUUGGCUAUGGUGUUGGCGUCCGCGUGGACUCCCCUCUGGGACCUCUACGGCUUGAGUACGCCUUUAAUGAUAGGCAAGCAAGCAGAUUUCACUUUGGUGUUGGCUACAGAAAUUAACAUGUAUAUUGGUCACAUUCUGAUUCAAUCUUGUUCUUCUGAGCAUUUUGGGCUGGUAGAAACUAGUGCCAUGCCUUCCAUUUUUUGGCGAUAUCAAAGCAAGUUUUGUCCAGAUCAGAUUUCAUUUUUUUUGUAACAUAUAGUUCCUUUACUUCUGUUGAGUGUUCUUCAUCUAGAGAAAUUAAAUGGACCCUUACUGGUAGGUUUUA